This is a long non-coding RNA of Vicia villosa (hairy vetch), 428 nucleotides long. RefSeq lists it as uncharacterized. The record is from RefSeq and is a predicted model, not a curated record. NCBI's taxonomy places the organism in Eukaryota, Viridiplantae, Streptophyta, Magnoliopsida, Fabales, Fabaceae. The transcript has 2 exons.
CAUUUUGCAAAGUGAGUGUUGUGCAAAGUUUGAAUUAUCACAACGUUGCAAAUUUGAACUGAAUUUGAGCAGAGUGAUGGCUGUCGGUCAAAUUAAAAGUUUUGUUGUGAUGAUCUUACUGAUAAUGUUUAUUAUUGUACAAGCUGAAAGCAUCUCUCAAUCUCGAGAAUUAAAUUCUAACAAUGGUAAUGAACCUUAUUGUAUAAGGUGUCCUGAUAUGUGUAAUAGAAAUCCUCCAGUCCGUGAUUUUGAUGCGUGUGUGGCAGAUUGUAAAAAAAAAUAUUGCUAGUAUCAUAUUUCUUUGCAUGACAAGGAGCUGGAGUACUGAUGCAUACAUACACUACUUCAUCCUUGAUAUAUUCUAGCAAUAAUAAAUAAAUUUCGUGUAUGCUUUAUGAGAUCAUAUGCAAUAAAAUGUAAUUGAGAAA